This 2851-nucleotide unclassified non-coding RNA is filed under the name Hevea brasiliensis (rubber tree). Lineage: Eukaryota; Viridiplantae; Streptophyta; Magnoliopsida; Malpighiales; Euphorbiaceae. The record is from RNAcentral.
UUAUCUUAUCCAUUGACUUUUUUAUAUUUAUUAAAUUAUAAAAAUUCAAGAGUUAAUUUAUGCAUUCAGCCUUUUCAUUAUAUAGCUACAAGUGUUGGCAUAAGCAAUGAUCUUAUGAAAUUUACGGGAUUACUACAUGACGGUAACAUACAUGGCGACUCACCGGCCAUUUACAACGAUCACAAUGAUCACCCGAAAGUCUUUCCCCUCUAGUAAAAGAAUCCACCAACUCCAUUCUUCCACUCAAGUGAAGAGAAUCAUCAUAUUAAGAGCAAGGAACCAUGGAUGACAGAACCUUUUGAUUCCAGCCCAUACCACAUCCUGAGGAAAGUAUGAAUAGAGUACGUUGUUGGUAUUUACACUCAAAUGGGCCUUGUUCUUGGAGAUGCUCCAGGUGUUCUGCUUUUUAAAAAAGUGGAUUCCAAGCCAAUAUCAUGAGCAUAUAUUGUGUUUGGUCUUGUCGAAUACAAUGAGUAAUCACUUAAGUUGUAACCACUUUGUCCGACCAAUGCAUAUGUUGGGUGAGGUGGCGAAAGGAAACAGCUCUUGUGAGCUGAUCCAUAUUGUCGUAAAGGGCUAGAACAAGGGGAUACCGGUAAAGAUGUGAACAUUGAGUCAUCCCUCGCUUUCUUCAAUCCUCUGGUAUUAGUUAGCACUUGCUUCAUUGCAUAAUCUCCAUCAGACAAAGUUAAACUCGUUCUAUUGGAGUGGAGAUCUAUCAGAGGCGGCGUGUGGCUUCCAUCAAAAGUGUAUGGAAAGGCAUCCGUUGUUAUGUUGAAGUUAGCAGCUCUUGUUGUUGAUUGGUCUCUAAUGAAAGGAUGGUCCAACAAUUGUGAAGCUGUAGGGCGUGCUGAUGGAUCCCGUUGCAAGCACAACUUUAUAAAACUUUUUGCAUCAUUUGACAGGUGAUCAGGUAUAUCAGGCAUAUCUUUGCUGUUUCCAAUUUUGAAUAUUGCAGCGACCCCUUCAUACUGGUUCCAUGGCGGCUUUGAUGUUGCCAUUUCAAGAAUUGUACAUCCCAAGCUCCAAAUAUCGACUGCAAGACUGUAGCCGUUUGUAUUCAUUACAACCUCAGGCGCCAUCCAGUAAGGACUUCCCUUGAAGGAAAGCAUUGAAGAACAAGCAUUAAUCUGAUUAGAACACAAAUUGAAAAGGCUAUCAAUAAUAAGCCAACAUUGAAUGGCAGGGCAAAAAUAAAAAUUUUAUCACCAUUUGCAGGCGAGAGCAAAUUUAUAAGUAAACUUAUCUAUCUCUCUGACUUAUCAGAAAGUGAAAUAUCAUUUUAUUUUUGCAAAAUUCAGGAAUUGAAAUCUAAAGAUUGAAAUGUGGCAUACAUGUUUUGCCAUGCCAAAGUCAGCCAGCUUGAUUUCACCAUUAGGAUCUACUAAUAUGUUAGCCCCUUUGAUAUCCCUGUGCACAGUAUUUCUUCCAUGCAAAUAGGCAAGCCCACAAAGAAUCUGCCUGGUAUAAUUUUGAAUUACGGGAUCCUUUAAGGCACCAUAUUCUUGAAGUAAUUUGUGAAUUGAGCCACCAGAGACAUACUCUAAAUAAACUGAAAGUGUUUCUUCACUCUAAGCAAAUGGAAAGCAAAACAAUUACCAAAGCAGGGUCUAAUAUUCACAACCAACUACUUGAAUUGAACAAAGGACAUGUUAAAAGAUAUCAGGGUGAGGAAUCCAACAAUCCCUCUCAAUCAUAUGUGCGAAUACAGAAGAACAAGUAAAUCAUACCAGUUCACUUCCAUAAUAUCGAACAAUGUUUGGAUGUGAAAGCUGACUAAGCAAAUUUAUUUCCUGGUUCAGUUGCUUAAGACAUUCUUUUGACGUCUGAUCAUCUGAAACAACUCUGACUUCUUUUAUUGCACACAUCUGUCCACUCUCACUGUUAAAUCCAAGGUAAACAUGUCCAAAACUUCCCCUUCCUAGUAGCUUUCCUUUCUUCCAUUUUGAAACUGGAACAGUUGUGUUUUCAGUCACAACAGGAGUUCUCGUGAUUGGCGGCAAGGAAGAAGGGCUGCUAGGAGAACCUGGUGGGAGAGGCAGUGGAUGACAUUGGCUCUUCCCAUCUUCCAGCCUUCCUGUUGGAGAGUCUAGAUUCAUACCUCCUAACAGUGGAUGAAGGGGCGAUGCAGACCUGCUGGGCCCUCUUGAUGCAGGACCAGGGCUUCUAGAUCCAGGACCAGGGCUUCUAGAACCAGGACCGGGGCUUCUAGACCCGGGACCUGGACUUCUUGAUCCCGCACCUGGGCUUCUUGACUCCAUAUUGAACCUUAUAUCACCUUGUCCUCUAUAACCACCAAAAAGACUAAUGUGAUGAUCAUUAGAAAUCGGGUGAUCCUCAGAGGAAGACCCAGAAGAGCUCACACUGGACAUGGAACCAGAAGCGGACCCAGAUCCAAACCCAACCCCACCAAUCCCAUGAUCACUCCCAGACCCAGACGGCGUAGGAAGUGGAAGCCCUCUCUUCUCGACCAAAUCCGAAUCAAAACCCGAAAACCCGGUAGACCCACCUGCGAAAUCCUUGCUCCCACGUGGGGAAUUCCGGUUCAAAACGACCUCAUCAAAGCUCUUAGGCUUCUGUUUGGUGGUCUUCUUCUUGGUAACAUCAUUUUUCCCAUAUGGGUUAUCUUGCUGCUGCUGCUGCUGCAGCUUCUCCUCUUUGUUCUUGGAGGACUUUUUCCCCCACCAAGCAGGCAUCUCUUUAUCCAAAAAAAACCUCAGAAAAAAGGAGAGAAGAAGAGAGAGACAAAGAGGUUUCUCUAUGGUACCCUGUGUGUACAGAGGAGACUCGAGAAAAAAGUUGCGACUCGCGAUCUGCGUACAGAUUUAUAAGAGGAAACAGAGAGGAAACU